This 234-nucleotide ribosomal RNA is filed under the name Triticum aestivum (bread wheat). Its description in RNAcentral is "partial small subunit ribosomal RNA". The record is from RNAcentral. Lineage: Eukaryota; Viridiplantae; Streptophyta; Magnoliopsida; Poales; Poaceae.
AUGUUUGAACAGUUUGGACAUAUUCUAUACGAAUGUGGUGCUUAUCAAGUUGAGGAGGUUGAGAAACACUAGACAUAUGUUGCAAUCCACAGUGAAGCGGAGAAGAGAGAGAAAUGGUGCAGGGUCUCGUACAAGGUUACUAUGCUUGAUGGAGGCAAUGAAUUCGAGUGCGAGUGUGGACAGUUCGCACACAUGGGCCUACUGUGCUGCCAUGUGCUGAAGGUCAGCAUCUGA